AAAAAAUAAGAUUUAUUUUUAGAUAAAAAAAAGUAGUGUUUCCACCACAACGUCGCACUUUAUCAACUGCCGUCAGUGUCAGACCGGUAUGGACCGGACCAGUCUCCGCCACAAAGAUGAGGAAAAACCAUCAGUUCCUGCCGGGGAUCGAACAGGCUGACCUUGCUGGGAGGCGAUGGACACUACACAUCAUAUACCACCGUGUGGCCAAACAGAACAAGAUAAAUCAAAACACCCCUCAGCAGACAUGGCUUAAGUUUCUUCAUACCCAGCUGGAACAGAGAGAGAGAGAGAGAAAGAGAGAGAGAGAGAGAGUGUGGAAAAUCUUAAUCAGUUUUUUCUUUGAGGACCAUAUGGAAGGUUUCAAGCAGCCAACCAUAUGUUGAAGGCUUUUGUCAUGGAAAUCAUACGUUUUGGCACUUUUUCGUGGCGCAGCCAAGCUGGGCACAUAAAUAAAAGAAAUCAAGAAGAGAAAAGUCGUACAGAACACCAUCAAAUCUUUGAGAAUACACAGAGUUGGAAAGGUCGUCUUCGUCACCAACAACAGGACGUCCUUAUUUUUAUUUAUUUAUCUUUGUUUGUUUUUUUUAAAAACCGAGACACUCCCUGAUUCACAUGGGCUUCUGGACUGCGUUGGUACCUGUAUUUGUCUUUUUCUAAUAAUAAUAAUAAUAAUUAAUAAAAAAUAAAAAUAAAAAAAGAAAGCAUUAUUAGAAAAAACAGCAAUUAAAUGUCUACAUGCAUCGUGAUAUUAUUGCUGUAAUAUAUUUACAAAUAUAUUUACAGAUGAUCAAAGAGGAACAAUGUUUCCCUACGUGUAAAGUCAUAUUAAAUUGUGCCUCCUGUUCA
Cynoglossus semilaevis (tongue sole) is the source of this 849-nucleotide long non-coding RNA. RefSeq lists it as uncharacterized. Lineage: Eukaryota; Metazoa; Chordata; Actinopteri; Pleuronectiformes; Cynoglossidae. The transcript is spliced from 3 exons. The record is from RefSeq and is a predicted model, not a curated record.